RNAcentral lists this ribosomal RNA (460 nucleotides) under uncultured bacterium. RNAcentral's name for it is "partial 16S ribosomal RNA". It matches the Rfam family "Bacterial small subunit ribosomal RNA", at positions 338 to 795 of the family's 1533-position model. The record is from RNAcentral.
CCUACGGGCGGCAGCAGUGAGGAAUAUUGGUCAAUGGACGAGAGUCUGAACCAGCCAAGUAGCGUGAAGGAUGACUGCCCUAUGGGUUGUAAACUUCUUUUAUAUGGGAAUAAAAUGUUGCACGUGUGGGAUUUUGUAUGUACCAUAUGAAUAAGGAUCGGCUAACUCCGUGCCAGCAGCCGCGGUAAUACGGAGGAUCCGAGCGUUAUCCGGAUUUAUUGGGUUUAAAGGGAGCGUAGGUGGAUUGUUAAGUCAGUUGUGAAAGUUUGCGGCUCAACCGUAAAAUUGCAGUUGAAACUGGCAGUCUUGAGUACAGUAGAGGUGGGCGGAAUUCGUGGUGUAGCGGUGAAAUGCUUAGAUAUCACGAAGAACUCCGAUUGCGAAGGCAGUUCACUGGACUGCAACUGACACUGAGGCUCGAAAGUGUGGGUAUCAAACAGGAUUAGAUACCCGAGUAGUC